RNAcentral lists this long non-coding RNA (235 nucleotides) under Panax ginseng (ginseng). RNAcentral's name for it is "long non-coding RNA (PGIN_LNC008168)". Lineage: Eukaryota; Viridiplantae; Streptophyta; Magnoliopsida; Apiales; Araliaceae. The record is from RNAcentral.
UCAAGUCACACCAACUUUACAUGGUUCUCUUUGGAUUAACCAAAAAUGCUUAGGAUUGACUUCUUACAACGGACCUUUAUAGUCAAAUCAUAAUCUCAAUAUAUUAGCAUUGCCUGCCAUUUUUUGCUGCCGACUGACCUUAUGAACAAUCAUUCCCACAAUUGGACUAGAAUUGUGCUUCAGUUCUGUGUUAGGAAAUAUAUGAUGAUGUUGAUGAUUAUCAAAUUAUAAAUGG